AUUGAACGCUGUCGGCAGGCCUAACACAUGCAAUUCGAACGAGUGGCGGACGGGUAGGUAAUGUCUUGGAAACUUCCUUAUGGAGGGGGAUUACUACUGGACACGGUAGCUCAUACCGCAUACCAUCAGAUGUGCCCAGAUGGGAUGAGCUUGUUGGUGGGUUAACGGCUCACCCAGGCGACGAUCCCUAGCUGGUCUGAGAGGAUGACCAGCCACACGGGAACUGAGACACGGUCCAGACUCCUACGGGAGGCAGCAGUGGGGAAUAUGGCAGAAUGGGCGCAAGCCUGAUGCAGCCAUGCCGCGGGUAUGAAGAAGGCCUUCGGGUUGUAAAGUACUUUCAGCGGGGAGGCGUUACCCGCAGAAGAAGCAACGGCUAACUCAGUGCCAGCAGCCGCGGUAAUAC
Molecule: ribosomal RNA, 406 nt
Filed under: uncultured bacterium
Lineage: Bacteria
Description: partial 16S ribosomal RNA
Rfam family: Bacterial small subunit ribosomal RNA
Source: RNAcentral